CAGGGUCUGACGACUGCCCAAACCACCGUGAACCGUCCCGAAAAUAAUAUGCUUCGGCGGGCCGCUCGCUGGGGGAGCCCCGGACCGCCCGUCGGUUGGUCCGCCGGAAGCAUGCACACGCAACUUUCCACAAUUCUGCUCUGAGAUAAUUCUCAUCCUCGCGAGAGGAGGAAACGAUCA
RNAcentral lists this unclassified non-coding RNA (180 nucleotides) under uncultured Sordariomycetes. RNAcentral describes it as "sequence contains ITS1". Lineage: Eukaryota; Fungi; Ascomycota; Sordariomycetes. The record is from RNAcentral.